AUUGAACGCUGGCGGCAGGCUUAACACAUGCAAGUCGAGCGGAGUGAUGGUGCUUGCACUAUCACUUAGCGGCGGACGGGUGAGUAAUGCUUAGGAAUCUGCCUAUUAGUGGGGGACAGCAUCUCGAAAGGGAUGCUAAUACCGCAUACGUCCUACGGGAGAAAGCAGGGGAUCACUUGUGACCUUGCGUUAAUAGAUGAGCCUAAGUCGGAUUAGCUAGUUGGUGGGGUAAAGGCCUACCAAGGCGACGAUCUGUAGCGGGUCUGAGAGGAUGAUCCGCCACACUGGGACUGAGACACGGCCCAGACUCCUACGGGAGGCAGCAGUGGGGAAUAUUGGACAAUGGGGGGAACCCUGAUCCAGCCAUGCCGCGUGUGUGAAGAAGGCCUUAUGGUUGUAAAGCACUUUAAGCGAGGAGGAGGCUCUUUUGGUUAAUACCCAAGAUGAGUGGACGUUACUCGCAGAAUAAGCACCGGCUAACUCUGUGCCAGCCGCCGCAGUAA
This 503-nucleotide ribosomal RNA is filed under the name uncultured bacterium. RNAcentral's name for it is "partial 16S ribosomal RNA". It matches the Rfam family "Bacterial small subunit ribosomal RNA", at positions 30 to 523 of the family's 1533-position model. The record is from RNAcentral.